RNAcentral lists this non-coding RNA (22 nucleotides) under Rattus norvegicus (Norway rat). Lineage: Eukaryota; Metazoa; Chordata; Mammalia; Rodentia; Muridae. The record is from RNAcentral.
CUUACUUACUCGUCUGAGCCUU